Molecule: ribosomal RNA, 868 nt
Filed under: uncultured haloarchaeon
Lineage: Archaea; Methanobacteriati; Methanobacteriota; Halobacteria; Halobacteriales; Halobacteriaceae
Description: bacterial SSU rRNA
Rfam family: Archaeal small subunit ribosomal RNA
Source: RNAcentral
UUCCGGUUGAUCCUGCCAGAGGUCAUUGCUAUUGGAGUCCGAUUUAGCCAUGCUAGUUGCACGAGUUUAGACUCGUAGCAGAUAGCUCAGUAACACGUGGCCAAACUACCCUAUAGACGGCGAUAACCUCGGGAAACUGAGGCUAAUAGCCGAUACAGUUCACUGCCUGGAGUGGCGCGAACUGGAAACGUUCAGGCGCUAUAGGAUGUGGCUGCGGCCGAUUAGGUAGACGGUGGGGUAACGGCCCACCGUGCCUAUAAUCGGUACGGGUUGUGAGAGCAAGAGCCCGGAGACGGUAUCUGAGACAAGAUACCGGGCCCUACGGGGCGCAGCAGGCGCGAAACCUUUACACUGCACAAGAGUGCGAUAAGGGGACUCCAAGUGCGAGGGCAUAUAGUCCUCGCUUUUCUCGAUCGUAAGGUGGUCGAAGAAUAAGUGCUGGGCAAGACCGGUGCCAGCCGCCGCGGUAAUACCGGCAGCACGAGUGAUGGCCGAUUUUAUUGGGCCUAAAGCGUCCGUAGCCGGCCGAGCAAGUCUGUUGGGAAAUCCACGCGCCCAACGCGUGGGCGUCCAGCGGAAACUGUUCGGCUUGGGGCCAGAGGACUCGAGGGGUACGUCCGGGGUAGGAGUGAAAUCCCGUAAUCCUGGACGGACCACCGAUGGCGAAAGCACCUCGAGAAGAUGGACCCGACGGUGAGGGACGAAAGCUUGGGUCUCGAACCGGAUUAGAUACCCGGGUAGUCCAAGCUGUAAACGAUGCUCGCUAGGUGUGCCGCAGCUACGAGCCUGCGCUGUGCCGUAGGGAAGCCGAGAAGCGAGCCGCCUGGGAAGUACGUCCGCAAGGAUGAAACUUAAGGAUUGGCGGGGA